GCUAGCUAGCUAGCUAGCCAGCCAUCCAGGAGGCUACUGCUAUACCAGACUUGUUCCGGAAAGUUUCCGGCGGCAGCCGCCCCCGAGAGAGAUGAUGAUUCCCGCCGGCCGGAACUUACCCGAGGUAAAAAGUACUGUAGCCGGGCCUCUGAGACGGGGAUCUGCGCCAAGAGGUUAUUGGGUGUUUCCGGCCGGCCGACAUCUGGGCCUCCGGCAUGUACCGGAGAUGUUCCGUUCAGUUGCCGUACGGACGUAGAGAAGAUGAAUUGCCUCCCCGUUUCAACGGGAAAAGCAGGUUGAGGUGGAAGGAGCGCAGCUCAAGUGAAACCAUGUCGCAACAGUCUCCUCUGCGUUUUGCUCCAACAGUUUGGAAGCUACAUUCAAAAAAAAAAAAAAAAACGACUGAGACUCCGAAAAUUUUCGACGAGGAUUGCCCGUUGAAAAGACACACUGCGAUGCAUGGUGUCCCGGAGACAUAUACACCAUUUUCUCACGAUCUGAUAAAAUAUAUAUAGGGAGACGGUGGUGCUUGCCGCUCCUCCAAGAGGUGGAAGAAAAAAAGCUGGGUUAACGGUGAUUGCUCGCCCUUGAGUGUAGCAGGUUGCCUUAGCUGUCUUCCAUCGGCCCAUCUGCUGGGUCUCCGGCCUCAGCAGCAUCAGAAGCAAUGCAUGAGGCUCUGCUCUCUGCUAUUUCGAUUCUGAAGUGAAGUUCACACAGCUAACUCUCUAAACCAUCUAUUAUAAGGAGCAACAAACCGACAUCGGUUCUCUGGCUUAAAGAGGCAGCAGCAGGAUCAGAAGCAAUGCACGAUGCUCCUCUGCUGUCCGCCGUUUCCAUUCUGACGUGAAGUUCACGCAGCUAACACUCUAAACCAUCUAUUAUAAGGAGCAACAAACCGACAUCGGUUCUCUAGCUUGAAGAGACAGCAGCAGGAUCAGAAGCAAUCCACGAUGCUCCUCUGCUGUCCGCCGUUUCCAUUCUGAUGUGAAGUUUACGCAGCUAACUCUCUAAACCAUCUAUUAUCAGGAGCAACAAACCGACAUCGGUUCUCUAGCUUCAAGAGUCAGCAGCAGGAUCAGAAGCAAUGCAUGAUGCUCUUCUGCUGUCCGCCGUUUCCAUUCUGACGUGAAGUUCACGCAGCUAACUCUCUAAACCAUCUAUUAUAAGAGCAACAAACCGACAUCGGUUCUCUAGCUUAAAGAGGCAGCAGUAGGAUCAGAAUCAAUGCACGAUGCUCCUCUGCUGUCCGCCGUUUCCAUUCUGACGUGAAGUUCACGCAGCUAACACUCUAAAACCAUCAAUUAUAAGGAGCAACAAACCGACAUCGGUUCUCUUGCUUAAAGAGGCAGCAGCAGGAUCAGAAGCAAUGCAUGAUGCUCCUCUGCUGUCUGCCGUUUCCAUUCUGACGUUAAGUUCAUGCAGCUAACUCUCUAAACCAUCUAUUAUAAGGAGCAACAAACUGUCAUCGGUUCUCUAGCUUAAAGAGGCAGCAGCAGGAUCAGAAGCAAAGCAUGAUGAUCUGCUGCCGGCAAUCAUCAUCAUCAUCACCACCACCAGCAGCUAGCUAGCUAGCUAGCUAGCUAGCUAGCUCAGCCAGCCAGCCAGCCAGCCAGCCAUCCAGACUUGUUCCGGAAAGUUUCCGGCAGCCGUCCCCGGAGAGAUGAUGAUUCCCGCCGGCCGGAAGAUAUCCGAGGUAAAAGUACUGUAGCCGGGCCUCUGAGACGGGGAUUGCGCCAAUAGGUUAUUGGGUGUUUCCGGCCGGCCGGCAUCUGGGCCUCCGGCAUGUGCCGGAGAUGUUCCGUUCAGUUGCCGUACGGACGUGGAGAAGAUGAAUUGCCUCCCUGUUUCAAUGGGAAAAGCAGGUUGAGGUGAAAGGAGCGCAUCUCAAGUGAAACCAUGUCGCAACAGUCUCCUCUGCAUUUUGCUCCAACAGUUUGGAAGCUACAUUCCAGAAAAAAAAAAACGACUGAGACUCCGAAAAUUUUCGACGAGGAUUGCCCGUUGAAAAGACACACUGCGAUGCAUGGUGUCCCGGAGACAUAUACACCAUUUUCUCACGAUCUGUAUAUAUAUAGGGAGACGGUGGUGCUUGCCGCUCCUCCAAGAGGUGGAAGAAAAAAAGCUGGGUUAACGGUGAUUGCUCGCCCUUGAGUGUAGCAGGUUGCCUUAGCUGUCUUCCAUCGGCCCAUCUGCUGGGUCUCUGGCCUCAGCAGCACCAGAAGCAAUGCAUGAGGCUCUGCUCUCUGCUAUUUCCAUUCUGAAGUGAAGUUCACACAGCUAACUCUCUGAACCAUCUAUUAUAAGGAGCAACAAACCGACAUCGGGUUCUCUGGCUUAAAGAGGCAGCAGCAGGAUCAGAAGCAAUGCACGAUGCUCCUCUGCUGUCCGCCGUUUCCAUUCUGACGUGAAGUUCACGCAGCUAACACUCUAAACCAUCUAUUAUAAGGAGCAACAAACCGACAUCGGUUCUCUAGCUUGAAGAGACAGCAGCAGGAUCAGAAGCAAUCCACGAUGCUCCUCUGCUGUCCGCCGUUUCCAUUCUGAUGUGAAGUUUACGCAGCUAACUCUCUAAACCAUCUAUUAUCAGGAGCAACAAACCGACAUCGGUUCUCUAGCUUCAAGAGUCAGCAGCAGGAUCAGAAGCAAUGCAUGAUGCUCUUCUGCUGUCCGCCGUUUCCAUUCUGACGUGAAGUUCACGCAGCUAACUCUCUAAACCAUCUAUUACAAGGAGCAACAAACCGACAUCGGUUCUCUAGCUUAAAGAGUCAGCAGCAGGAUCAGAAGCAAUGCAUGAUGCUCUCUGCUGUCCGCCGUUUCCAUUCCGACGUGAAGUUCACGCAGCUAACUCUCUAAACCAUCUAUUACAAGGAGCAACAAACCGACAUCGGUUCUCUAGCUUAAAGAGGCAGCAGCAGGAUCAUAAGCAAGCAUGAUGCUCCUCUGCUGUCCGCCGUUUCCAUUCUGACGUGACUUUCCGCAGCGAAGUCUGUGAAUUAUCUAUUAGGAGCAACAAACCGACAUCGGUUCUCUAGCUUAAAGAGGCAGCAGCAGGAUCAUAAGCAACGCAUGAUGCUCCUCUGCUGUCCGCCGUUUCCAUUCUGACGUGACUUUCCCGCAGCGAAGUCUGUGAAUUAUCUAUUAGGAGCAACAAACCGACAUCGGUUCUCUAGCUUAAAGAGGCAGCAGCAGGAUCAGAAGUAAUGCAUGAUGCUCUGCCGUUUCCAUCCUGACUUGACUUUCACGCAUCUAAAUCUCUAAACCAUCUAUUAGGAGCAAAAAAACCGACAUCAGUUCUCUAGCUCAAAGAGGCAGCAGCAGGAUCAGAAGCAAUGCAUGAUGCUCUGCUGUCUGCCGUUUCAAUCCUGACGUGACUUUCACGCAGCUAAAUCUCUAAACCAUCUAUUAGGAGCAAGAAAACCGACAUAGGUUCUCUAGCUUAUAGAGGCAGCAGCAGGAUCAGUAGCAACGCAUGAUGCAUUGCCAAGCUCCGCCCAGUUGACUUUGAUGGCGAUGGCGCCAAGAGACGAUGGGGUGUUUUCGGCCGAUAUGCUGCCGGCAGAGUGCUUAAGUCCCAAAAAACGACUGAGUCUUCGAAAAUUUUCGACGAGGAUUGCCCGUUGAAAAGAGACACUGCGAUGCAUGGUGUCCCGGAGACAUAUACACCAUUUUCUCACGAUCUAUAUAUAUAGGGAGACGGUGUUGCUUGCCUCUCCUUGCUCCGAGGUGGAAGGAAAAAAAAGCUAGGUUAACGGGGAUUGCUCGCUCUCGAGUGUAGCAGGUUGCCUUAGCUGUCUUCCAUCGGCCCAUCUGCUGGGUCUCCGGCCUCUGUUGCCGUCACAGUACGAGCUGCGGUAAGUCUGGGCCGGCGCAGGGAAUGUAGUUAGCUGCCACCAUGCUGCUUGCUUUCCUUCUGCCGCCGUGCCCCGACCUGCCUUUGAUGCGGCUACCCUUCUAUUGUUUCAAGUGUCAUAUCAUUCACCGUGCGAUCACGUCUCCAGCUUGCCCAUGACAGCAGCAGCAUCGAGUUGUGCUCACGACACUCGAUCGGUCUGAGAAUGGGAAUGAAGCUGUAGAACAAACCGGCAUCGGUUUGUUAGCCGAAAGAGGCAGCAUCAGAAGCAAUGCCAUGAUGCUGUCCUGCCGGCAAUCAUCAUCAGCUGCAGCAGCUAGCUAGCCAGCCAACCAUGCAGGAGGCUACUGCUACAGCAAGCUUGGGCGACGGUUGAAGCUUCCAAGGCCUCACGUCUCCAACAGGAGCUAGCUCC
Molecule: non-coding RNA, 4265 nt
Organism: Cherax quadricarinatus
Lineage: Eukaryota; Metazoa; Arthropoda; Malacostraca; Decapoda; Parastacidae
Source: RefSeq, a predicted model, not a curated record